This 468-nucleotide ribosomal RNA is filed under the name uncultured bacterium. Its description in RNAcentral is "partial 16S ribosomal RNA". It matches the Rfam family "Bacterial small subunit ribosomal RNA", at positions 28 to 507 of the family's 1533-position model. The record is from RNAcentral.
GACGAACGCUGGCGGCGUGCUUAACACAUGCAAGUCGAACGGAAAGGCCCUGCUGUUGUGGGGUGCUCGAGUGGCGAACGGGUGAGUAACACGUGAGUAACCUGCCCUUGACUUUGGGAUAACUUCAGGAAACUGGGGCUAAUACCGGAUAGGAGCUCCUGCUGCAUGGUGGGGGUUGGAAAGUUUCGGCGGUUGGGGAUGGACUCGCGGCUGAUCGGCUUGUUGGUGGGGUAGUGGCUUACCAAGGCUUUGACGGGUAGCCGGCCUGAGGGGGUGACCGGCCCCAUUGGGCCUGAGAUACGGCCCAGACUCCAACGGGAGGCAGCAGUGGGGAAUAUUGCACAAUGGGCGGGAGCCUGAUGCGGCAACGCCGCGUGCGGGAUGACGGCCUUCGGGUUGUAAACCGCUUUCGCCUGUGACGAAGCGUGAGUGACGGUAAUGGGUAAAGAAGCACCGGCUAACUACGUG